UACGGAGGGGACUAGCGUUGUUCGGAAUUACUGGGCGUAAAGCGCGCGUAGGCGGAUUAGUCAGUCAGAGGUGAAAUCCCAGGGCUCAACCCUGGAACUGCCUUUGAUACUGCUAGUCUUGAGUUCGAGAGAGGUGAGUGGAAUUCCGAGUGUAGAGGUGAAAUUCGUAGAUAUUCGGAGGAACACCAGUGGCGAAGGCGGCUCACUGGCCAGAUACUGACGCUGAGGUGCGAAAGUGUGGGGAGCAAACAGG
RNAcentral lists this unclassified non-coding RNA (253 nucleotides) under uncultured Rhodobacterales bacterium. RNAcentral describes it as "contains 16S-23S intergenic spacer region". It matches the Rfam family "Bacterial small subunit ribosomal RNA", at positions 524 to 776 of the family's 1533-position model. The record is from RNAcentral. Lineage: Bacteria; Pseudomonadati; Pseudomonadota; Alphaproteobacteria; Rhodobacterales.